CGGCUUGGAUCUGAUCUGCAGAUAUGAAAUGUAUGUGAGAGUCGAUUCCGCCUGCGGUGAGAAUCAUUUUUUCUCCGGCGAUUAUCUCUGUGCUCGCACCGAUUUCAAUCGUGACACCUUUGGAGACGAGAGAGUUUCCCGCGCUUCCGAUCGCUAAAAUCAAGCCAUCUCGGAUAGCGAUGUCAGCUUUAUAAAUUCCACUGUGGUCCAGAAUUAGCACAUUGGUGAUGACAAGAUCUGGCGCACCCAUUGAGCGUGUAAUGAUUGGGUUCUGACCCAUUGAAUCACGG
Molecule: small RNA, 290 nt
Filed under: Acidithrix ferrooxidans
Lineage: Bacteria; Bacillati; Actinomycetota; Acidimicrobiia; Acidimicrobiales; Acidimicrobiaceae
Description: 5' ureB small RNA
Rfam family: 5' ureB small RNA
Source: Rfam by way of RNAcentral